Triticum aestivum (bread wheat) is the source of this 2332-nucleotide long non-coding RNA. RefSeq lists it as uncharacterized. The record is from RefSeq and is a predicted model, not a curated record. The transcript is spliced from 11 exons. NCBI's taxonomy places the organism in Eukaryota, Viridiplantae, Streptophyta, Magnoliopsida, Poales, Poaceae.
AGCAACCUAGGCAGGAGCUCCCCGGACCUGAGCGACGGCGGACGGGCGCGUGAGACGGAGUGAUCUGGUGCGGCGGCGUGAAUUCCUUGCAGGUAGAGGCGGGUCUCCAUGGCUGGCAGGGAGAGCUCCAAGCCAUGGCGGGGCUUUAGUUUUCCCUGGUAGAAAAGAGAGAAAGAGGAAGAUUCAGGGAGGAGGAGAGGUAGAGAGAAGAAGGUGCAGGUGCGAGCUUGGGGAAGAGGGAGCCUAACAUAGAGGAUGCCGCAAGGGGAGAGGAAUGGUGCAGUGAGAUUGAGGAAAACAGGACACAUCGGGACCCGGGAGCUCGAGAAGAGGCUCAAUCGAUCUCGACAAGAAGUGAUCUCCCCUUGGUGACAGUAUUAGAUGGCCUCCCUAGGCUCCUGUCAUAGACCUUGGAGUAAGCUUGCGACCUAGGUAUGUGGAUAGAUUUCACUUCUUCAACGGUUCAUUGAUGCACGAGUAAGCUUGCGACCUGGGUAUGUGGAUAGAUUUCACUUCUUCAACGGUUCAUUGAUGCACGAGUAAGCUUGCAAAGCGGCAUCCUGCUUAUCUAGCUUUCUGUCCACUGCUGUCCAUGCAACUGAAGCAUAAAAGAUAUAAGAAUCUCAUCUCCUUCUGGCGGAACGGCAGAGGGCUUGGCUGCUACCAGGGUGAUCCAAAGGGUGUAUCUAGGUAGCAUGUUUGUGGCCUCUUGCACUAACAUGAUUAAUGGUAGCUUCUAUUCCAUGACAUGAUUUUUGCAGCUGUAACAAUAUGUUUCAUGCAAGAGGACAUAAAUUUGCAUCCUAUUUUUCUGUCCAGUUAGUUCCAAAUUACAAAUGUUUGUGCUAUCACUGACAAUUUGGUGGAAAAAGAUGAGUCGUAUAUACACCCAGUGUAAGCUUUCACAUCAGCCGUUGCUCUUGAUUGUCUUUGCAAGUCCAUAGAUAUAAUUUCUUAUGAUUUUCCUUUACUCAUAGUAAGUACUGAAUAUUUUGUGCUUCAACCCUUUAGGUGUUAAUUUCUAUGAUGUGGCUAGCAAAGUUGGCAACAGGUACAGUAUAACGAUCAUGAUCUGCAGAGGGAUAUCACCUAGGUGCAUAAAUCAUAAUCAUUCAGUUUUUAUUUGGCAAGCUGGAGCUACCUGGAACUUUCAAUUUUGGUGCCAAGAUGGAUGGAUUCAACUGGGUGACCCACAGUCAGGGCGUGGCCGCGGCUGCGGCGCGGGCAGCAAGGACGAGCGCCGCAAGGGAGCCGAUGGGCGUGGGCGUGAACCGGGGAGAGGAGACCAUGGCGGAGGAGAUGAGAGAAGGCCACUGUCUUCUUCUCCCCCCUCUCCGACCAGAAACCCCUAUCUAUCCAUCCGACGAGAGAAGACUGCAGGCGGAGGAGAGGAGACGCGGGUGAGGUAAGAGGAGCCAAAUCCCCAUCAUGCUCCUCCCCGCGCGCCGCCGACCCACCAGCGGCAUUCUUUCUGGUGUGCUAGGGGAAACAAACAACAAGAUGGUGGUGCGGGUCUUCGGGUAUGGGUCCCUGAUCUGGAACCCCGGCUUCGAUUUCAACGAGAAGAUCCUGAGAUUCAUCAAGGGCUACAAGCGAACGUUUAAUCUCGCUUGCAUUGACCAUAGAGGCGCACCACAGAAUCCAUCCAGGACCUGCACCCCUGAAUCCGAAGAUGAAGAAAUAUGCGUAUUCAACGUGAGGAAUUUCAUACUUUUGGUGUGGUGCUAGCAAAUAUAGUGACCAAAGAUAGUGAUGAGAAAGGGUGGAGCUGAGUAUGCCACACAUGGAUAUGAUUAUUCCCCGUAUGUUCUUUUUGGCAAUCCACUUCAUCACUGACUCAUCUGUGUAUGGGGUAGAGCCAAGGUGGCAUAAGUGUGUGGCUACGGAUUACAUCACGGAUUAUGUGCUACUUUAUUAGUUGAAGUCUCUUUGUUCGGUUCCAAAGUUUGGCCACAACUAGCUUGAUUCGGAGACAUUUCGUAUUAGGAGUUAAACUUUGGUUUGGAGGCAUUGAGCUUUGUCAGUAACUAGCUUUGUUACUUGGUAUACUUCUGUCAGCAUUCAGGAGCCCCGUAGUUGUGUAGCGGGUCGCGGGAGAGGCAGCCGGUGAGUGCGAGCUGGACGGGAAAGUGAUGCCUGCGAUGGCGAACCAUGCCGGCGGGCAGGGCAGGGUCGACGCUCUAAAUGUACUGCCUGCCAGCUUGUCUUAGUCUUAAUAAAAGUGCAUAUCUGCAGCAUCCUUUCAUUUAUUUGGCAUAUCCUACUUUAAAAAAUAUCCUUGACUCGCAUCGAUUUCAAAUAACUGAAGUAUCUGUUGGAAAUAUGCCCUAGA